AUUCAUGAUUGCAUUGUAGCCGCCACCCCCUCCUUUGCGCCAUCGUCCCAUUUUCUUAAAAUUUCAUCAAGUGUCUGGACAUUCAAAUAAAGUUUACAUGAGGUGUUUCAAUUGGAAACAAAUAGUGACAAGGCCGAGCUUAUACCAGAAGACUUGCUCUUUCUAAUCAAUGUAUGAAAGUAAUAUGGACAUCAUUAAACAAGAUGUAAGGGUGGGGUUACUCAGGCUGCUUUUGGUUUUGGAUGGCAAGCCUAUGCAAGAGUUUGGUGGAGUUGAUCAGGAAGGUUAUCAUGCCUAGUCCCAUCCCGCUGCACUGGUGGAUUACAGCAGCAUAAGCAACUCAUGAGUCACGGCGAAAUGCAAAGGAAAGAAAGAAAAGUAACAAACAAACUAAAAGGAUUAUCUCUUGUUCAAAGUCACUGGGCUUACAGGUAA
This is a long non-coding RNA of Brassica oleracea var. oleracea, 435 nucleotides long. RefSeq lists it as uncharacterized. NCBI's taxonomy places the organism in Eukaryota, Viridiplantae, Streptophyta, Magnoliopsida, Brassicales, Brassicaceae. The record is from RefSeq and is a predicted model, not a curated record. The transcript is spliced from 3 exons.